CCUACGGGUGGCUGCAGUGGGGAAUAUUGGACAAUGGGGGAACCCUGAUCCAGCCAUGCCGCGUGUGUGAAGAAGGCCCUCGGGUUGUAAAGCACUUUCAGUGAGGAAGAACGCCUGGUGGUUAAUACCCAUCAGGAAAGACAUCACUCACAGAAGAAGCACCGGCUAACUCCGUGCCAGCAGCCGCGGUAAUACGGAGGGUGCGAGCGUUAAUCGGAAUUACUGGGCGUAAAGCGCGCGUAGGUGGCUUGAUAAGCCGGUUGUGAAAGCCCCGGGCUCAACCUGGGAACGGCAUCCGGAACUGUCAAGCUAGAGUGCAGGAGAGGAAGGUAGAAUUCCCGGUGUAGCUGUGAAAUGCGUAGAGAUCGGGAGGAAUACCAGUGGCGAAGGCGGCCUUCUGGACUGACACUGACACUGAGGUGCGAAAGCGUGGGUAGCAAACAGGAUUAGAUACCCUAGUAGUC
This 464-nucleotide ribosomal RNA is filed under the name Vreelandella stevensii. Its description in RNAcentral is "partial 16S ribosomal RNA". It matches the Rfam family "Bacterial small subunit ribosomal RNA", at positions 338 to 795 of the family's 1533-position model. The record is from RNAcentral. Lineage: Bacteria; Pseudomonadati; Pseudomonadota; Gammaproteobacteria; Oceanospirillales; Halomonadaceae.